AUGGAAGCUUCGGAAGGCAGAUUCUUCAAAUUAGAGCACUGUUGGGAGUUGCUCCAAAAGUGCGAUAAGUGGAAGUUGAUCGACAGAGAAUCCCCAACAAAGAGAGGCUCACUUGUAAACAUGGAUGAAGAUGAAGACGAUGAUGGCCCAAGAAAUUUGCACAAGCCCGAUGGCGACAAGAAGACUAGAGAAAAGAUCAAGAGAGAGCAAGAAGCAUUGAGCUUGAGGGAGAAGAUUGAUGCCAUGGUGCAAUCAGACGAGUUGAUGUUGUUGAAGUCGUUGGAGAUCAAGAAAGAGUUGGACGAGAAGAAGGCAAAAGAGAAGCAAGAAAAAUGGCAAAUGCUCAAGGAAGAGGGGCUCCGCAAAGCUGCCAUUGAGGAGAGAAAAGCACGCGCCUCCGAAAACAAAUCGAUGUCAUUGUUACUCGCCGAAGAGAACAAGAUCAUGUCAAUGAACCGCAAUGACAUGGACGACCUCACCAAAACAUGGCAUGAUAUGGCAAGGAGAGAGAUCUUGAAGAGAAGAAUGGUAGCCUCGGUCGGUCCGUGUUCCAGUUCCGGUGAUGUUUUCUCUACUCCAUAUGGUGGUAAUGUGUAUGAUUUCGGUGCGGGAGUUGGAACAAGCGACGGAGGUGGAUUCGGUGGCGCCUAUGAACUUCAAUAUGGACUCCAUGGCGCGAAGUGA
This 684-nucleotide ribosomal RNA is filed under the name Triticum aestivum (bread wheat). Its description in RNAcentral is "partial small subunit ribosomal RNA". Lineage: Eukaryota; Viridiplantae; Streptophyta; Magnoliopsida; Poales; Poaceae. The record is from RNAcentral.